RNAcentral lists this ribosomal RNA (553 nucleotides) under Aspergillus sp. 2GT4. Its description in RNAcentral is "eukaryotic LSU rRNA". The stretch from base 169 to 322 matches the Rfam family "5.8S ribosomal RNA". The record is from RNAcentral. Lineage: Eukaryota; Fungi; Ascomycota; Eurotiomycetes; Eurotiales; Aspergillaceae.
GGGUCAACAUCCCAUCCGUGUCUAUUGUCACUCGUUGAUACCGCGUGACCACCGCUCGUCGGCCGCCGGGGGGGCGCCUCUGCCCCCCGGGCCCGUGCCCGCCGGAGACCCCAACACGAACACUGUCUGAAAGCGUGCAGUCUGAGUUGAUUGAAUGCAAUCAGUUAAAACUUUCAACAAUGGAUCUCUUGGUUCCGGCAUCGAUGAAGAACGCAGCGAAAUGCGAUAACUAAUGUGAAUUGCAGAAUUCAGUGAAUCAUCGAGUCUUUGAACGCACAUUGCGCCCCCUGGUAUUCCGGGGGGCAUGCCUGUCCGAGCGUCAUUGCUGCCCUCAAGCCCGGCUUGUGUGUUGGGUCGCCGUCCCCCUCUCCGGGGGGACGGGCCCGAAAGGCAGCGGCGGCACCGCGUCCGAUCCUCGAGCGUAUGGGGCUUUGUCACAUGCUCUGUAGGAUUGGCCGGCGCCUGCCGACGUUUUCCAACCAUUCUUUCCAGGUUGACCUCAGAUCACGUAGGGAUACCCGCUGAACUUAAGCAUAUCAAUAACAAAGAGGAA